GACGAACCGUGCAAACGUUAUUCGGAACCACUGGGCUUAAAGGGCGCGUAGGCGGGUCAGCAAGUCAGGGGUGAAAUCCCACGGCUCAACCGUGGAAGUGCCUUUGAUACUGUUGAUCUCGAGGGAGGUAGGGGCGUGCGGAACUUCCGGUGGAGCGGUGAAAUGCGUAGAUAUCGGAAGGAACACCGGUGGCGAAAGCGGCGCGCUGGACCUCUUCUGACGCUGAGGCGCGAAAGCCAGGGGAGCAAACGGG
RNAcentral lists this ribosomal RNA (253 nucleotides) under uncultured bacterium. RNAcentral describes it as "partial 16S ribosomal RNA". It matches the Rfam family "Bacterial small subunit ribosomal RNA", at positions 524 to 776 of the family's 1533-position model. The record is from RNAcentral.